This 244-nucleotide ribosomal RNA is filed under the name uncultured bacterium. Its description in RNAcentral is "partial small subunit ribosomal RNA". It matches the Rfam family "Bacterial small subunit ribosomal RNA", at positions 26 to 285 of the family's 1533-position model. The record is from RNAcentral.
AGAAUCAACGCUGGCGGCGUGCCUAACACAUGCAAGUCGAACGAGAAAGUGGAGCAAUCCAUGAGUAAAGUGGCGCACGGGUGAGUAACACGUGACUAACCUACCCUUGAGUGGGGAAUAACUUCGGGAAACCGAGGCUAAUACCGCAUAACACCUACGGGUCAAAGGAGCAAUUCGCUUAAGGAGGGGGUCGCGGCAGAUUAGUUAGUUGGCAGGGUAAUGGCCUACAAGACGGUGAUCUGUA